Molecule: ribosomal RNA, 420 nt
Filed under: uncultured prokaryote
Description: bacterial SSU rRNA
Rfam family: Bacterial small subunit ribosomal RNA
Source: RNAcentral
CCUACGGGUGGGCAGCAGUGGGGAAUAUUGCACAAUGGGGGAAACCCUGAUGCAGCAACGCCGCGUGAGUGAUGACGGCCUUCGGGUUGUAAAGCUCUGUCUUCAGGGACGAUAAUGACGGUACCUGAGGAGGAAACCACGGCUAACUACGUGCCAGCAGCCGCGGUAAUACGUAGGUGGCGAGCGUUGUCCGGAUUUACUGGGCGUAAAGGGAGCGUAGGCGGACUUUUAAGUGAGAUGUGAAAUACCCGGGCUAAACUUGGGUGCUGCAUUUCAAACUGGAAUUCGAUAGUGCAGGAGAGGAGAAUGGAAUUCCUAGUGUAGCGGUGAAAUGCGUAGAGAUUAGGAAGAACACCAGGGGCGAAGGCGAUUCUCUGGACUGUAACUGACGCUGAGGCUCGAAAGCGUGGGGAGCAAACA